This 169-nucleotide non-coding RNA is filed under the name Nocardioides dokdonensis. Lineage: Bacteria; Bacillati; Actinomycetota; Actinomycetes; Propionibacteriales; Nocardioidaceae. The record is from RNAcentral.
GUGACGCCACAGCCACGAGGUGCCCCGAGGCCCGGUCGAGACAAGCCGGUGCUGAGGGGAGAAUCUGGGAAGCCGGUGAGAGUCCGGCACAGGCCCGCUGCGGUGACCUGGAGGGUGCGAGAGCGCUGGUCCAGGAAGUCCGAAGACCGGCCUCGAGGCGCCUAUCCGA